Molecule: long non-coding RNA, 634 nt
Organism: Vidua macroura (Pin-tailed whydah)
Lineage: Eukaryota; Metazoa; Chordata; Aves; Passeriformes; Viduidae
Exons: 3
Source: RefSeq, a predicted model, not a curated record
AUGGCGGCUUUGCCCGGGGUAGCGUCCAUCUGCAGCGGCUCAGGCAGGACACUGCUCUCCUUUGCGGAGACUGAGGGCCCGUGGGGCUCUUCAGUGUUCCUUCCGCCCGUGAACGUGAGCGCCACCCCGGAGGCAGGAGCCUUGCACGGCGCUCUUGUGCUGUAAUGUAGGAAUUCCUUCCGUCCUCUGCACAAAAGCGUCUACAAAACACGAAAGUCUCUAGCACGGAGAGUGCCGUGCACGCGGAACCAGUUGUAGGAAGGCCAUGUGUGUGCUGGUGCAUGCUUUUGUCUUGCAAGGGGCUGGGCUGCACAGGCAUUCCCUGUUGGGAGUGUCCAGCUCCAGCACCUGCCAGAACCUGGGUUUAAGAAAACCAGUCAGCAGCAGAGCUAUGCUAAACUCAGGACUUCAGUCACCUGCUUCCUAAUUCUCAAAGCAGCUAAAGCCCUGAAGUCUUUUUUUACCUUUUAUAGUCACAGGACUAGUCAAGCAAAAUCUUGAUUGGAUUAUUCUGCUUUAAUUACAAAAUGCACUCAGACCAAAGGCGCAAUAGUACCUGGUACGUAUGUACACAUUUCUCUCAAUUAUAACACAAAAGACCAAAAUGCCAUCUGGUCCUGCUGUAGAUCAAACA